Molecule: ribosomal RNA, 305 nt
Filed under: uncultured bacterium
Lineage: Bacteria
Description: partial 16S ribosomal RNA
Rfam family: Bacterial small subunit ribosomal RNA
Source: RNAcentral
ACAGCAGUCGCCACGGGAAUGCGGAGGGGGCUAGCGUUGUUCGGAAUUACUGGGCGUAAAGCGCACGUAGGCGGCUUUGUAAGUUAGAGGUGAAAGCCCGGGGCUCAACCCCGGAAUUGCCUUUAAGACUGCAGAGCUAGCAGGUGAGAGAGGUGAGUGGAAUUCCGAGUGUAGAGGUGAAAUUCGUAGAUAUUCGGAAGAACACCAGUGGCGAAGGCGGCUCACUGGCUCAUACCGGACGCUGAGGUGCGAAAGCGUGGGGAGCAAACAGGAUUAGAUACCCCCGUAGUCCCUGUCUCUUAUAA